RNAcentral lists this small RNA (1155 nucleotides) under Pan troglodytes (chimpanzee). Its description in RNAcentral is "retained intron". Lineage: Eukaryota; Metazoa; Chordata; Mammalia; Primates; Hominidae. The record is from RNAcentral.
GGAAAACAGGCUUAGAGAGAUGAUGUGAUUUAUUCAAGGUCACAUAGAGGGGUAGGUGACAAAGGCAGGCUCAAGCCCAGGUCUCCUGUCCUGCAGCUUACACGGCCGUGCUGACUCAGUAAAUGAUGGCGGCUUCAGCAGGAAGCCCAGGGACAGCAGAGCCGGUCGCCUCUCAUUCUGUACGAAGGUGUGCUAUGGCAUUGGUGGGGUCCCCAACCAGAUAGCCUCCAGCGCCACAGCCUUUUACCUGCAGCUUUUCCUGCUUGAUAUAGCACAGAUCCCUGCCGCCCAGGUGUCACUUGUUCUGUUUGGGGGAAAAGUGUCUGGGGCGGCUGCUGACCCUGUGGCUGGGUUCUUCAUCAACAGGAGCCAAAGGACAGGGUCUGGACGGCUCAUGCCUUGGGUGCUGGGCUGCACCCCCUUCAUCGCCCUGGCCUACUUCUUCCUGUGGUUCCUGCCCCCCUUCACCAGCCUGCGAGGCCUCUGGUACACGACUUUCUACUGCCUGUUCCAGGCCCUGGCCACGGGAUGACUGCGGAGAUGGCGGGAACACUGAUGGGGGCCACUGUUCACGGGCUCAUCGUGUCCGGCGCCCACAGACCCCACAGGUGCGAGGCCACUGCGACCCCGGGGCCAGUCACUGUCUCCCCGAAUGCAGCCAAAAGUCUUCUGGGAUGCAUCCAGCCACCCUGCACCCCACUGCCAUGCCCCGGCCCGUGCCACUACCUCCCUCCCCACCCCACAACUGCUGCCUCCGCCUCUUACACGGCAUCCCAUCCUUGCCUUCUGCCACCUCCCUGUGCAGUCAGGUGCCCUUUGAAAGGAGUUUGAGCAAUGUUCAUCCUCAUUGCCUCCUGUUCUGCCCACGAUCCCCUCCCCCAAGAUACUCUUUGUGGGGAAGAGGGGCUGGGGCAAUGCAGGCUGGGUGACCGACUACCCCAGUCCCAGGGAAGGUGGGGCCCUGCCUCUAGGAUGCUGCAGCAGAGUAAGCAAGGAGGCCCGAAUCGACCAUAAAGGGUGUAGGGGCCACCUCCUCCCCCUGUUCUGUUGGGGAGGGGUAGCCAUGAUUUGUCCCAGCCUGGGACUCCCCCUCUGGUUUCCUAUUUGCAGUUACUUGAAUAAAAAAAAAUCCUUUUCUGGAAAAAAAAAAAAAAA